AACGAACGCUGGCGGCGUGGCUAAGGCAUGCAAGUCGAGCGGACGUGUUCCAAGGGUAACUGCGGGACACGUUAGCGGCGAACGGGUGAGGAAUUCAUGGAUAACGUACCUCGGACACAGGGAUAGCGGCGGGGGAACCCUUCGCGAAAGUGCCGGUAAUACCUGAUGACCCCGCCGGGAUCGCAUGAUCGUGCGGGCGAAAGGUCCGCCGGUCCGAGAUCGGUCCAUGACCUAUCAGCUAGUUGGUGAGGUAACGGCCCACCAAGGCUUU
Molecule: ribosomal RNA, 271 nt
Filed under: uncultured bacterium
Lineage: Bacteria
Description: partial 16S ribosomal RNA
Rfam family: Bacterial small subunit ribosomal RNA
Source: RNAcentral